CCAGGUCAUACUUUGUACGUUCAGGAGAUGUAAAAGCACAUAUGGAAAAAGUUUUAUUUAAAUGGAUUCACAACAACCACUUGAAGCAAUGGUCAUGGGACUUAGAAGAGACAGACAGAAAAAGAGUUCAGCAGGAAAGGUAGUGGGUGUAAGCAUUUUAGGGUUGAUUGUAUUAAUGGGGGGUUGUAUUUAGGGUUGGUUGUAUUAAUGGGC
Molecule: non-coding RNA, 213 nt
Organism: Pelobates cultripes (western spadefoot toad)
Lineage: Eukaryota; Metazoa; Chordata; Amphibia; Anura; Pelobatidae
Source: the annotation of a GenBank genome assembly